UUUUUAUGCAUUGAAAAACUCUUGACUGAUUUGUUUUAAGUGAAUUUGCAUAACUACUUAAUCAAAGUUUGGAAAUUCUACUUUACUGCACUUUCAAUUCAAUAUUUACAAGCAAGAUUUGUGAUCCUGAAAUUAAUAGUCUCAUCUAAACCAUUUUGGCUUUUUACUGCCUUGGUGUUCAAUUACACUGUGAUCUGAUCCAUUUGCUCUGAAACUGCCAGCUGCUGGGGAACUCUGAUGCUUCUGGGAUUCCUUGCUGAGUGACAGUGAGGUCUUAUUCUUAUCCACUCACAGCUGAAGCAUCUGGAGCGUUAAGCAGUAAGUACAGCAUCCAUUUCCUCCCCCUCCUUGUUGUAAAACAGAAGAUACUCUCCCUAGAAUGGUUCUUUUUUCAUUUACCAAAUCAGAGCAACACUGUGACCCACAGUUCCUAGUUCAAAUAAAAAAUUAGAGUUGUUAAACAUAAAAUGCUAAAAUAAGCAAUAAUUUACCCCCAGCACUUACAACCAUCAUGAUCUUGUUGAUUUUUAAGGCAGUAAUGUCAAGUUCACAGUGCAGCUUUCGGUGCUUUUGUAAAGCUGGCCAUAAAGGGAGACCAGCCAAAUCUGGAGAUUUGUAAUGAUGAGACUUAAAGUUUAUUAGAGUGCUGUAAGGAGGAUUGCUGAUUCUGUACAUACUGGUAGCUCUGUGUCAGGAAUAAUACCACACAGAACUAUUGCAUAAAUCAUCUGAACUCAUAAGAGUUGCGAUAGUGCGAGUUUCUUUCAAGAGAAGUUGUGGCAAUGGUGAUAAACACCUAGGAAGGAGAAUAGAAGGAAAAAUCUUUGGUAACAGUUUCCCUAGAAGACACCUGCUGCCUCUGGCAAUUUUGCUCCUUGAAGUGGAUUCUGAGCCAGGUGGAUCUUGCGUGCAGCUGCCCUUGAGGGAUUGUUCCUUCUUCAAUGCAAUUAGCAUUUUUAUGCUGAAAGAGGCAUGCUCUUACUCAAGCCAUGAAUGAGCAACACUAAAUAAAAAAAUCUCAACUAUGCA
RNAcentral lists this long non-coding RNA (1029 nucleotides) under Anas platyrhynchos platyrhynchos (common mallard). RNAcentral's name for it is "lncRNA (ENSAPLG00000020296.1)". Lineage: Eukaryota; Metazoa; Chordata; Aves; Anseriformes; Anatidae. The record is from RNAcentral.